Molecule: ribosomal RNA, 464 nt
Filed under: uncultured bacterium
Lineage: Bacteria
Description: partial 16S ribosomal RNA
Rfam family: Bacterial small subunit ribosomal RNA
Source: RNAcentral
CUACGGGAUGUUCCAGUGGGGAAUAUUGCACAAUGGGCGCAAGCCUGAUGCAGCCAUGCCGCGUGUAUGAAGAAGGCCUUCGGGUUGUAAAGUACUUUCAGCGGGGAGGAAGGGAGUAAAGUUAAUACCUUUGCUCAUUGACGUUACCCGCAGAAGAAGCACCGGCUAACUCCGUGCCAGCAGCCGCGGUAAUACGGAGGGUGCAAGCGUUAAUCGGAAUUACUGGGCGUAAAGCGCACGCAGGCGGUUUGUUAAGUCAGAUGUGAAAUCCCCGGGCUCAACCUGGGAACUGCAUCUGAUACUGGCAAGCUUGAGUCUCGUAGAGGGGGGUAGAAUUCCAGGUGUAGCGGUGAAAUGCGUAGAGAUCUGGAGGAAUACCGGUGGCGAAGGCGGCCCCCUGGACGAAGACUGACGCUCAGGUGCGAAAGCGUGGGGAGCAAACAGGAUUAGAUACCCCAGUAGUC